ACAAGCGGUGGAUGAUGUGGUUUAAUUCGAUGCAACGCGAAAACCUUACCCACCUUUGACAUGUACGGAACCUUUAGAGAUAGAGGGUGCUCGAAAGAGAGCCGUAACACAGGUGCUGCAUGGCUGUCGUCAGCUCGUGUCGUGAGAUGUUGGGUUAAGUCCCGCAACGAGCGCAACCCUUGUCAUUAGUUGCUACAUUCAGUUGGGCACUCUAAUGAGACUGCCGGUGACAAGCCGGAGGAAGUGGGGAUGACGUCAAGUCCUCAUGGCCCUUAUAGGUGGGGCUACACACGUCAUACAAUGGCUGGUACAAAGGGUUGCCAACCCGCGAGGGGGAGCCAAUCCCAUAAAGCCAGUCGUAGUCCGGAUCGUAGUCUGCAACUCGACUACGUGAAGUCGGAAUCGCUAGUAAUCGUGGAUCAGAAUGUCACGGUGAAUACGUUCCCGGGUCUU
RNAcentral lists this ribosomal RNA (453 nucleotides) under uncultured Rhodoferax sp. RNAcentral's name for it is "bacterial SSU rRNA". It matches the Rfam family "Bacterial small subunit ribosomal RNA", at positions 925 to 1382 of the family's 1533-position model. Lineage: Bacteria; Pseudomonadati; Pseudomonadota; Betaproteobacteria; Burkholderiales; Comamonadaceae. The record is from RNAcentral.